UCGAUUCCGGGCUUUCAAUAAGUGUGCGUUGUCGGUUUUUUAAGAGCGAGUAAAAUGGGUUUGGACAAUAUCAAAUUUGAGUUUAAGGAAGGAAGCCGUGCAGGUUGCUCUCAAUUAUUAUAUACUCCAAGUGACCAACAAAUUUACAAAAAAAAAUAAACAAUUAAAUCGUUCAAAGGAUUACAGAGCACGGGUUUAUUUAAGUGCAGAUAGGGCUCGCGUCUUUUCCAAUCCUGAAAAAAUUAAGCAUAUUCAUGGACCACAAGGCCAUGAAAUGGAAAAAAUCGAAGUGCUGUCGCAAAUAAAAUUGAAGUGUCAAACCAAUUCCGACGAUACCAAAAAAAUAUUUAAUGAUGUUCUCGCGAGAAAAACAAAUGGAGAAGAGGAAAUAGAAAUAAGUUAUGAUACGGUGAAACGCAUUCUACAGCGAAAAAGACAACCCUUUCUUCCAAAAUCUCCAAUUACUCCCGUGCGCGAUGCUUUCAAUGAUAAAAAUAUCAUGAACCGUUUUGGCAUGACAAAAGGAAAUUUUCCGUUUUUUUUAAGAAAUUAUAUGCAUGAAGUUAAUUUGCCUAUUGUGAUUUGCGUCUGACAAGGUCAUCACUUUGAUGCAAGCCAAUAUUGAGGAGCAGCAUAUGCAUUUUGUAAUAGAUGCUACAUUUAAAGUUUGCCCUUUCGGGGACUUUAAGCAACUGCUUCUUAUUUAUGUUAAACACAUGCAAAAGAUAACACCGUUCCUAUUUGUUUUGAUGACUCGUAAAACAGAGCUCUGUUACCACCUAUUUACAUAUGUUGACUCAAAUAUUUGCUGUCUUAAUGGUGCAUCAUUUAUAUCGGAUUAUGAGAAUGCGAUGCGCAACGCUUUGAAAAAUUGGCAUCCAAAUAUUAAUUUCUUUGCUUGCUGGUUCCAUUUUACCCAAGCAUGUAAAAUAAAUGCAUUCAAAACUAUUGGUUUUGAGAAAAUGCUUUCGUGCAAUAAACAUGCGUAUAUGCUGUUUAUGAAAUUUCUAUAUUUACCUCUUUUACCGGAAUGCAAGAUUGUUGAAGCAUUUUGUCUUCUUGAAGCUCAAGCCACAGCCUUAGAUAAGAAGAUGCUUUCGCCCUUUUUAAAAUAUUUUAAGAAGCAGUGGCUUAAGAAGGAAGGACUUAAAAAUAUAUAGGUAUACAAACGAUCCACAAGAACCACGGGCUCAGUUGAAGCAUACAAUUUAAAUCUGGGCAAUAAAAUUCGAGCAAAGGGACACUUUUUCAAAUUUGUGGAAUGUAUCAUUGAUGCGAAGUAUGAAAAAUGUCGAGAAUUCGCUCUUCUCUUUCAAAACGGUGGGAUAGGUAAUUCAACACAACCAAAACAUAUACCUGAUAUGUUUCGCUAAAUGACCGUUUUACAAAACAGGACUUGUUCGAUAGUGUGCAUAUGGACUCCAAUUUGUCGGGAAUGUCAUCUGAAAUGAAGGCAUUAACAUCAUCCCUUUCGUCGAGUGACUCAAAAUCUAGUCAAAUAUCCGAUUCAUCUAUAUUUCAAAUGAAUCCCUGAAAUGUAUGUCUCAUCGAACCGAAAUCGGUUUUAUUGCGCCAAUGUAAUUUUGUGAAUAUUUGUGCAGCAUGUUGGGAUCAAAUUCUGGCUCAUAAUCAAGAACAGAACGAUGAUCCUAACGAUCCUGACAGUGGUGAACCAAAAUGUCCAACGUGUCAACAAGUUGUCAAAGAAGCUAUCCGUAAUGUUUAUAUAUAUAAUUAAAAAAUUAGAAUAAUAAACUAAGUUUCAUGCGCAUUAAAUAAAUGUAUGUAAUAUGGGCAAUUCUCUGACAGAAUUUGUGCGACCGUCUUUACAGGGAAAAAAACAUAAACUAAACCAAUUGGAAAAUAAGUGAGGAAUUCUUACUAAUCUAGAGCUAUGAGAAUAACCUUUCCUUAUUUUCAAAAUGUGUAUAGUUUAUGUUUUUUUCACUGUAAUGACGUUCACACAAAUUCGGUC
Drosophila biarmipes is the source of this 1975-nucleotide long non-coding RNA. RefSeq lists it as uncharacterized. The record is from RefSeq and is a predicted model, not a curated record. The transcript has 5 exons. NCBI's taxonomy places the organism in Eukaryota, Metazoa, Arthropoda, Insecta, Diptera, Drosophilidae.